UACGGAGGAUGCGAGCGUUAUCCGGAUUUAUUGGGUUUAAAGGGUGCGUAGGCGGACUGUCAAGUCAGCGGUAAAAUACGGGGGCUCAACCUCCGCCCGCCGUUGAAACUGGGGUUCUUGAGUGAGCGAGAAGUAUGCGGAAUGCGUGGUGUAGCGGUGAAAUGCAUAGAUAUCACGCAGAACCCCGAUUGCGAAGGCAGCAUACCGGCGCUCAACUGACGCUGAGGCACGAAAGUGCGGGUAUCGAACAGG
This 252-nucleotide ribosomal RNA is filed under the name uncultured Bacteroidales bacterium. RNAcentral's name for it is "partial 16S ribosomal RNA". It matches the Rfam family "Bacterial small subunit ribosomal RNA", at positions 524 to 776 of the family's 1533-position model. The record is from RNAcentral. Lineage: Bacteria; Pseudomonadati; Bacteroidota; Bacteroidia; Bacteroidales.